UACGUAGGUGGCAAGCGUUAGCCGGAUUUACUGGGUGUAAAGGGCGUGUAGGCGGGAGAGCAAGUCAGACGUGAAAUUCCAGGGCUCAACCCUGGAACUGCGUUUGAAACUGUUCUUCUUGAGUGAUGGAGAGACAGGCGGAAUUCCGUGUGUAGCGGUGAAAUGCGUAGAUAUACGGAGGAACACCAGUGGCGAAGGCGGCCUGCUGGACAUUAACUGACGCUGAGGCGCGAAAGCGUGGGGAGCAAACAGG
RNAcentral lists this ribosomal RNA (253 nucleotides) under uncultured bacterium. Its description in RNAcentral is "partial 16S ribosomal RNA". It matches the Rfam family "Bacterial small subunit ribosomal RNA", at positions 524 to 776 of the family's 1533-position model. The record is from RNAcentral.